GAUGAAGAAGCAGCGAAAUGCGAUAAGUAAUGUGAAUUGCAGAAUUCAGUGAAUCAUCGAGUUUUUGAACGCAUAUUGCGCCCUCUGGUAUUCCGGGGGGCAUGCCUGUUCGAGCGUCAUUAAAUAACCCUCAAGCAUAGCUUGGUGUUGGGCUUUUUUACGUCCUUGACUGGGAUGGGCCUAAAAAUUAGUGGCGAUGGCUUUUUUACUUUCAAGCGUAGUAAAUCUCGUCUUGCUAAAGAGGAAAAAGAUUUUUUUUCUGCCAAAAAUUUUAACAUUUAAAGUUGACCUCGGAUCAGGUAGGAUUACCCGCUGAACUUAAGCAUAUCAAUAAGCGGAGGA
This 342-nucleotide unclassified non-coding RNA is filed under the name soil metagenome. RNAcentral's name for it is "partial contains 5.8S ribosomal RNA, internal transcribed spacer 2, and large subunit ribosomal RNA". The stretch from base 1 to 119 matches the Rfam family "5.8S ribosomal RNA", at positions 35 to 154 of the family's 154-position model. The record is from RNAcentral.